Non-coding RNA from Schistosoma mansoni, 78 nucleotides. The record is from Rfam. NCBI's taxonomy places the organism in Eukaryota, Metazoa, Platyhelminthes, Trematoda, Strigeidida, Schistosomatidae.
AGCCUUCUGUAUCCGUGCUGAGACUUCGUCAAACACUGGACCAUAAGGGCUGGUGAGACUCUCAAGAUAAGUGAAGCG